AGCAGCCGCGGUAAUUCCAGCUCCAAUAGCGUAUAUUAAAGUUGUUGCAGUUAAAAGCUCGUAGUUGAAUUUCGGGGUUAGUAGGUUGGUCAUGCCUCUGGUAUGUACUGGUCUCACUGAUUCCCCCUUCCUGAUGAACCUUAAUGCCAUUAAUUUGGUGUUUUGGGGAAUUUGGACUGUUACUUUGAAAAAAUUAGAGUGUUUAAAGCAAGCUAACGCUUGAAUACAUUAGCAUGGAAUAAUGAAAUAGGACGUUCGAUCCUAUUUUGUUGGUUUCUAGGAUUGACGUAAUGAUUAAUAGGGAUAGUUGGGGGCAUUAGUAUUCAAUUGUCAGAGGUGAAAUUCUUGGAUUUAUUGAAGACUAACUACUGCGAAAGCAUUUGCCAAGGAUGUUUUCAUUAAUCAAGAACGAAAGUUAGGGGAUCGAAGACGAUCAGAUACCGUCGUAGUCUUAACCAUAAACUAUGCCGACUAGGGAUCGGAUGAUGUUAAUUUUUUUAAUGACUCAUUCGGCGCCUUA
This 520-nucleotide ribosomal RNA is filed under the name uncultured Glomus. RNAcentral describes it as "SSU rRNA". It matches the Rfam family "Eukaryotic small subunit ribosomal RNA", at positions 569 to 1090 of the family's 1831-position model. Lineage: Eukaryota; Fungi; Glomeromycota; Glomeromycetes; Glomerales; Glomeraceae. The record is from RNAcentral.